This 344-nucleotide ribosomal RNA is filed under the name uncultured Thiobacillus sp. RNAcentral's name for it is "bacterial SSU rRNA". It matches the Rfam family "Bacterial small subunit ribosomal RNA", at positions 1034 to 1382 of the family's 1533-position model. Lineage: Bacteria; Pseudomonadati; Pseudomonadota; Betaproteobacteria; Nitrosomonadales; Thiobacillaceae. The record is from RNAcentral.
ACAGGUGCUGCAUGGCUGUCGUCAGCUCGUGUCGUGAGAUGUUGGGUUAAGUCCCGCAACGAGCGCAACCCUUAUCAUUAGUUGCUACGCAAGGGCACUCGUAAUGAGACUGCCGGUGACAAACCGGGAGGAAGGUGGGGAUGACGUCAAGUCUUCAUGGCCCUUAUGGGUAGGGCUUCACACGUCAUACAAUGGUCGGUACAGAGGGUUGCCAAGCCGCGAGGCGGAGCCAAUCCCACAAAGCCGAUCGUAGUCCGGAUUGUUCUCUGCAACUCGAGAGCAUGAAGUCGGAAUCGCUAGUAAUCGCAGGUCAGCAUACUGCGGUGAAUACGUUCCCGGGUCUU